GGUGUUCCAUCUUUGCAGGGCAUCCUUUGUGUGGCCCAGCCGCGAGACACUGCCUCGCUGGGGGAGGGUGCUUCUGCUUUAGGGAAAACACACUCUUAGAUCUGCUUUAGAGAAAAUAGCCCACCGAUGGCCAGCAAAGGAUGUUUCCUUUGGACACACUAGCCUACUGUUUGAACACUGUACUGUAGAAGGCACAGGCUGGGAUGCUGGGUCGACUGGGCACAGCUGUCUUUGUGACUGGCCGCAUUAUUGAUCCUUCUGAGCCUGUGUGCCACACUGGAAAGUUGGAUCUAAGAGUUAAGAUUUAUUGGUUUCAAA
This 318-nucleotide long non-coding RNA is filed under the name Mus pahari (shrew mouse). RNAcentral describes it as "lncRNA (MGP_PahariEiJ_G0004179.1)". The record is from RNAcentral. Lineage: Eukaryota; Metazoa; Chordata; Mammalia; Rodentia; Muridae.